UUAAACAAUUUCCACAGGGCACACAGUCCUUUCCCAAUGCCAAGGCCAGGGCCUUCUGAUUACACUGGCCUGUCUUACUCGAGUAUAUGACUCCUCCUCUCAUGGUGGGAGGGCUGGAAAUCUUUUGUGGUUUUGGAUGGACUCGCGGCCUAUCAGCUUGUUGGUGAGGUAAUGGCUCACCAAGGCGACGACGGGUACCCGGCCUGAGAGGGUGACCGGCCACACUGGGACUGAGACACGGCCCAGACUCCUACGGGAGGCAGCAGUGGGGAAUAUUGCACAAUGGGCGGAAGCCUGAUGCAGCGACGCCGCGUGAGGGAUGACGGCCUUCGGGUUGUAAACCUCUUUCAGUAGGGAAGAAGCGAAAGUGACGGUACCUGCAGAAGAAGCGCCGGCUAACUACGUGCCAGCAGCCGCGGUAAUACGUAGGGCGCAAGCGUUAUCCGGAAUUAUUGGGCGUAAAGAGCUCGUAGGCGGUUUGUCGCGUCUGCCGAGAAAGUCCGGGGCUCAACUCCGGAUCUGCGGUGGGUACGGGCAGAACUAGAGUGAUGUAGGGGAGACUGGAAUUCCUGGUGUACCGGUGAAUGCGCAGAUUUCGAGGAGAACCCCGAUGGCGAGGCAGGUCUCUGGGCAUAACUGAACCCUGAAGAGCGAAAACCUUGGGAGCCAAACAGGAAUAAAUACCCCUGGAAACCCUUGCCAAACC
RNAcentral lists this ribosomal RNA (706 nucleotides) under Arthrobacter sp. 52ND3. RNAcentral describes it as "bacterial SSU rRNA". It matches the Rfam family "Bacterial small subunit ribosomal RNA", at positions 131 to 808 of the family's 1533-position model. The record is from RNAcentral. Lineage: Bacteria; Bacillati; Actinomycetota; Actinomycetes; Micrococcales; Micrococcaceae.